Molecule: ribosomal RNA, 718 nt
Filed under: Gordonia sp. BSF_Orange
Lineage: Bacteria; Bacillati; Actinomycetota; Actinomycetes; Mycobacteriales; Gordoniaceae
Description: bacterial SSU rRNA
Rfam family: Bacterial small subunit ribosomal RNA
Source: RNAcentral
CGGGAGGCAGCAGUGGGGAAUAUUGCACAAUGGGCGCAAGCCUGAUGCAGCGACGCCGCGUGAGGGAUGACGGCCUUCGGGUUGUAAACCUCUUUCACCAGGGACGAAGCGUGAGUGACGGUACCUGGAGAAGAAGCACCGGCCAACUACGUGCCAGCAGCCGCGGUAAUACGUAGGGUGCGAGCGUUGUCCGGAAUUACUGGGCGUAAAGAGCUCGUAGGCGGUUUGUCGCGUCGUCUGUGAAAUUCUGCAACUCAAUUGCAGGCGUGCAGGCGAUACGGGCAGACUUGAGUACUACAGGGGAGACUGGAAUUCCUGGUGUAGCGGUGAAAUGCGCAGAUAUCAGGAGGAACACCGGUGGCGAAGGCGGGUCUCUGGGUAGUAACUGACGCUGAGGAGCGAAAGCGUGGGUAGCGAACAGGAUUAGAUACCCUGGUAGUCCACGCCGUAAACGGUGGGUACUAGGUGUGGGUUCCUUUUCACGGGAUCCGUGCCGUAGCUAACGCAUUAAGUACCCCGCCUGGGGAGUACGGCCGCAAGGCUAAAACUCAAAGGAAUUGACGGGGGCCCGCACAAGCGGCGGAGCAUGUGGAUUAAUUCGAUGCAACGCGAAGAACCUUACCUGGGUUUGACAUACACCAGACGCGGCUAGAGAUAGUCGUUCCCUUGUGGUUGGUGUACAGGUGGUGCAUGGCUGUCGUCAGCUCGUGUCGUGAGA